RNAcentral lists this ribosomal RNA (253 nucleotides) under uncultured bacterium. Its description in RNAcentral is "partial 16S ribosomal RNA". It matches the Rfam family "Bacterial small subunit ribosomal RNA", at positions 524 to 776 of the family's 1533-position model. The record is from RNAcentral.
UACGUAGGGUGCGAGCGUUAAUCGGAAUUACUGGGCGUAAAGCGUGCGCAGGCGGCUUUGCAAGACAGAUGUGAAAUCCCCGGGCUUAACCUGGGAACUGCAUUUGUGACUGCAUGGCUGGAGUGCGGCAGAGGGGGAUGGAAUUCCGCGUGUAGCAGUGAAAUGCGUAGAUAUGCGGAGGAGCACCGAUGGCGAAGGCAAUCCCCUGGGCCUGCACUGACGCUCAUGCACGAAAGCGUGGGGAGCAAACAGG